Molecule: long non-coding RNA, 3826 nt
Organism: Balaenoptera acutorostrata (minke whale)
Lineage: Eukaryota; Metazoa; Chordata; Mammalia; Artiodactyla; Balaenopteridae
Exons: 3
Source: RefSeq, a predicted model, not a curated record
CCGUGUGUCCCCAGCGGCCUCGCCGCGCCCCGGGCAGCCUGUGUCCCAGGCUGGCCCGGCGCCCCUCGCCCCGCAGGAUACUCUUCGCCCCGCGACCACCACUGCGCCCCCCACCCGCGCCCUUCCCCAGCGCUCGGGCAGCCCGCGCGUCCCGCUCCGCCCCCAGGCCCCCCGAGCGCCCAGGCCGCCUCCGCGCCCCUCCCCAGGCCCAGCACCUCCUCCGCGCCCCCAAGCUUCCGCCCGGCCUCCCCCGCCCCCCGGCCUUCCGCACCCCUGCGCCCCGCCCCGAUCCUCCCCCGCGCUCGGGCAGCUUCAGCGCCAAGUCCCCGCCGCGCCCAGGCCGCCUCCGCGCCGCCCGGCCCCUGCGCCCCCGCACCUGCGGCGCUCCGGCAGCCUCCGCCCGGGCCGGCGCCCCUGCCCUGCGCCCACCACGCGUCCCCGGCGCCCCAGCGCCUCGGCCCGGCCGGCUGGGCUGCGCUCCGGAACCCCGGCCCCGCCCCCGCUCUGCCGUCCCGGGCGCCGGUCCACGCGGCCCCCGCAGCCCCGCGCCAGGCCGGCGCCGCCUCGUGCCCCUGACGCCCCGGAAGGAGAGCCGGGAGGGGGCAGCGGCCGCCGGGCACCCUCGCCCCGCCCCGGUCCCCUGACCCCUCCCCGCCCGAUCCAGGAGUCUGCGGCGUCUCCGCUCGGACACCUCACCUUUCACCGGCCAGCCCCAAAGUAAACGUUUGCAGUGGCCUCCCGGGCCGGGCCCAAGGCCGGCGCGCUGCCCGGGCAGAGGCCACGCUGGAAACGUGAUCUUACUGAACGAACGCUCAGUGAGCGAAGGAAAGGGGCGUGCAAGUGUGCACGGUGCGUGCACGCAGGAGAGAGUAACCGAAAAUAAGCAACCUGAAAGAGGUCGAGGUGCUUCUGAUGCAGCCGGACAGUCUCAGGAAGGGUCCGUUCUGAGCCCCGAAGUCUCCUCAGCCCCCAGCAGCCCCCUGGCUUCCAGAGGAAAGGAACGGUUUCCCAGCCUCUGUGCUUGUCUGGCUGUUGUCUCCAGUGUUUGCCAAGUGUCCCCACUCAUCCGUGCCACAGGGUCAUUCCCUUUGGCCCCCUUCUGGCCUCUUUCUGCCCCAGGGGUGCAGUGCUCCUGUGUGACACUGGGGAUGGGGAAAAGGACCCACCAGAGCGUUCCGACGACAAGAGGUCCCCUUUGAAACGUCCCAGACAGCGUCUGUGUCCUUCAGUCCACAGUGCGGGGUGGUCCAAGGUCUCGUUUGCGUGGAGAAGUUAUCCCGUGGAAUAAAAUCCAUGCAGCAUACAGUAUCCCUUCUGCACAGAACAAAGAUCUGAAUGCUUUCAGAGGGCCGCCAGGGCAAAAUGGGAAACGUAAUUCUCUCAUGCGCCGGAAGACAGCAGCCUCUGAUGGGCUCAAAAGGCAAUUAUCACCUAGACCCAAAUCCUCACAAAGCUGCAGAAUCUCUCACUUUGCCCAUCUGGAGGGUAACUACUCACCCUGUGUUUUGAACCAAGAGACCAAGAGAUGGGAAAGGGGCCACUUCUGCAUGAGCUCGGCGUGUCGGGGUCACCUACACAAGAGGCAGAGAACAGAUCUCCGGACAACAACCGGACCUGGAUUCAUGGAUGGUCCCUCCAGGGAAUUCCUAACCAGAGGAGUUUGGACGACCCCCAAGAAGCGGCAAAAACCGUCCCCUGGGAAUAAAACAGGCAAAGUGCUCAAAAAGUCAUUUUAAGAGAUUAUAAUACUUUGAAAGUACCGAGACAGGCUGGGACCCGGGACCCUUUGCUGCAGGGCUUGUGCCUGGACGAAGAUCUCCUGGGGCAGCAACAUACAAAGAAAAAUGUACGGGACUAAAAAUAACUGCGCGCAUGCGCAGUUCGGGCAAAUGAUGAACAGUUAGAUACAAAGAGACCAAAAAGCCCACCUGCCACUUCUGAAGAGCCCGGAGCAAAAGCAGGGGGUCGGGAGCGAAAGCAGGGUCCUGGGCCCACCUAAGCCUCCCCUCCAGCCCGACCCCUGGACCUACCCGUACCCUCAGCCCAUUUAAGGAACAAGCUUCCCCCCCCCCCACCCAGGGAGCGAGCAAGCAAGGGAACUUGUUAUUUGUUCUCACUCCCCCACCUGCUGCAGCAGGGCCCCCAUAAAGCCUGGCCUCAAUUUCUUGUCUGGCUUCUGAUCAAUUUCUAUUGCUUAAGGAGGCCAAGAACCCGGAACCGUAACAGUACCACCUGCUUUGGGGGCCAAGGUGAAAGCUGCCAGGGUUGGAGAUGUGCUUUACGCCAAGGGUGUGUCCCCGAAAUGUUAAGAUUCAAGAAAUACAUUGUUAACACAGAAGGCGGCUCUCCAAAGAAAAGUUUGCCCCAUCAGAAUGGUGGAUUUCAGGAAACACAGGGGCUUUCGUCCGCCUGGUUUCAGCGUCAUCGUCAUCGUAAGAAACAGGAUCAGAAGACAGCUUUCUGCUCUUUCUACCAAAGCAGGCAGCUUUCCAGAACUAAUGUCCCCUCGUGAGUUUACAAGUGAAAAGAGGAAUCAUUUUCUCAGAAACGGUGCCUGAACCGUCGGUUUUUUAAGGCUGGUGAUUAGCUUCCGAUGACUUGCUUCUCACUAUCUGAGUGGGCUUAAUUGAAAAAGAAAAAAAAAAAAAAAAAUUCAAGGUCCCUGUGAAAAUGGAUUAACGUGUCCUGAAAAGGUUGAUGGGUUCAGAGCAAGAAUUCGAGGAGAGAAUUACACGGUUGGCUGCUAUUAGAAUUUGCAUUCUGAAAAGCUGGCAAAAACGAGCAGAACUCAUCUGUACCUGCCCGAGGCUCACGGUUUUACAGAUGGGGAUCCGAAAUCUGUCACCUGCCUCACGAGACAUUUCAACGUGACACUUGUCAAUGAAUGAAAAGAAAGAUCUGUGAGAUUUAAGAAUGACUAUCUCAGGUUAACACAGCCAGAAAAGUAACAGAGGGUUUGCAUGAACGUGUCCACCUUUGGGGGAGCGUAGAGCUGCUUUUAUAAGAAACCAGAGGGUGCAAAGAAAGAGUGAAUUCAAUAAACAAACAAAAUGUUAGAAAACAUUUGCUGAAGGUAGAAAUGAUUCUACUACAGAUGAUGGCUCCUUGCAUUUGAAAUGCGUGAGAUGUUGGAAACCUUCUCGAACAUGAAUCACGAGGAGUUUCAAAGAAACUGAUGAAUGAACUCAGAUAAAGGCGUCGUCCAAAUGUCUGCACGAAAAAGCCACCAAAUCUACACUAAAUUAUCUGAAAGAAGAUAAAAGAACAGAUGCACACGCAGAUCCUAUCAAACAGUCUCAGAAAUGAACAAGCUUCGCCGCCGUCAGAAGUAAACACCAUUUGAAAGUCAGAUUCUAUGAUGUCAGUAGAGACAUAUGGGCGUUAAGCGAGCUGCACUCCCCCAGAUACAUGUAUGUGUGUACAAAAUGAACUAUCACAGAAUAUUAAGUUUCUAGUGAAUGUGCCACGGAAAGAGAGAAGAAAAUCUUGCCAAAGCCACUGAAAUGAUCGUCUGUGCAUGUGGAGUGCUGGAUGCCUACAGAAUCCAAGCAAAAAACGCUUCCAGAAGAAAAUGUCAGAAAGAGCUCUUUUCUUCCCCAGCUUUAUGGAGAUAAUAAUUGACAUGUACCAUUGCGGAAGUUUAAGGGGUACAUUGUGAUAUAGACAAUAUAUAUACAACAAGGUGUACAUUGUGUAUACAUUGCAAUAGGAUUACCAUCCCAGCCUUAGUUAACACCUCCAUCCUGUCACAUAAUUACCAUUUCUUUUUGUGGUUAGAAUACUUAAAGGCUAUGCUCUUGAAAACUUUCACGUCUACUCUCUUAAA